GUACAGGCGGGUUUUAGCCCCGUCCUUAUCAA
This 32-nucleotide transfer RNA is filed under the name Trachylepis maculilabris. Its description in RNAcentral is "partial tRNA-Tyr". Lineage: Eukaryota; Metazoa; Chordata; Lepidosauria; Squamata; Scincidae. The record is from RNAcentral.